This 404-nucleotide unclassified non-coding RNA is filed under the name fungal sp. RNAcentral's name for it is "partial internal transcribed spacer region". The stretch from base 1 to 46 matches the Rfam family "Eukaryotic small subunit ribosomal RNA", at positions 1786 to 1831 of the family's 1831-position model. RNAcentral also lists the same sequence under 1 other name. The record is from RNAcentral. Lineage: Eukaryota; Fungi.
AAGUCGUAACAAGGUUUCCGUAGGUGAACCUGCGGAAGGAUCAUUAUCAAACGUAUCCACGUUUAAUAACCAAUCGUGAACUGUUUCUUUAUGCCUCCAUAUGGUGAUGAAUGAGUGCAUUCUGGUUUGACGUUUUUUUCUUGAGCAAUCAAGAAAAAAGGAGCUUCUUUGUUUAAAGUGGUUUAAAAGCUCUAGUCUUACUGAUUGCCUACAGUACGGCUGCAUUCAUUACUAUUUGGUUGUAAUUUUAAACUACUUUUUCAUAUUUACCAUUUCAACAAUACCUUUUUUCUUUAUGAAAAACUGAAUUGUUUCAUAUUUUCGUCUCUUUCGGGAGCGAAAUUUGAAAUGAAUAAAUACGAAAAAAUAUAGAACAACUCUUAGCAACGGAUAUCUUGGUUCUC